AUUGGAGUUCCCUGCCUCGUCACCGCGUUCCGGUCGCCUGCGCAGCCGCCGGUUUCGAGUACCCUAUCAAAGUAGUCCAUGUCUUCAAGGGCAAGAGGAGGCGUGCGCCGUGGCAGGGGCCGCGGCCGUGGGAGAGCUGAUGUGGCAGAAAAUUACAUGGAUUACCAUGAGACAUCUGUACCUUCUUCUCCAAGUACCAUUUCUGAUAGAGAGGACAAUGGCGAGUUCACUCUGGAACAAGCCCCUGCUUGUUGUGUAGGACCUGUGGAACCUGCAUCUAGCACACUACUCAAUCCUAAGAUUAACCACCGUUCUGAUGCAAUUUUUGGUGAUCAGGCCGUGGAUCAGUUGAAACUGCGCCACCACAAACCAUUGAAAUUUCAUGAGAGAUAUCGUCCUUAUCUGAGGGAUGCAGGACUUCUGGGGCUCUCGCAAAUUUGCCAGAAAAUGCCUCAGUUGGAUAAAGCCUUGAUUACUGCUCUUGUUGAGCGUUGGAGGCCAGAAACCCACAGCUUCCACUUGGCUUCUGGGGAGAUGACAGUUACACUUCAAGAUGUUGCAAUGUUGUUUGCUCUUCCUAUUGACGGCCGCCCGGUUUGUUGUACUACGGAUCAUGAUUAUGGGCAGAUGGUCGUUGAUUGUCUAGGUCACGAUCCUAGAGGUCUAUCAAUGCCUGGGAAGUCCUUUUUGCAUUACAAAUGGCUGAAGAAGCACUUCUAUGAGUUACCAGAAGGGGCUGAUGAUCAGACAGUACAGAGGCAUGUUCGAGCAUAUAUCCUGAGCCUCUUAUGUGGGGUGCUCUUUCCAGACGGGACAGGAAGGAUGAGUCUGAUAUAUCUUCCACUGAUUGCUGAUCUUUCUCUUGUUGGAACAUACAGCUGGGGCUCCGCAGCCCUUGCCUUCCUAUACCGGGCCCUUUGCUCUGUUGCCUCCUCCCACAAUAUCAAGAACAUAGGUGGUUCUUUGCUUCUCUUGCAGCUUUGGAGUUGGGAGCACUCCCAUGUUGGCAGACCAUUGGCUCGGUCUUCCCUAUGCAUGGAGACAGACAUCCCACAAGACUUGCCCCCAAUUGGCUUUCGUUGGGUCGGUGCUCGCGCACAAAGUCAGAAUGCUACUCGCUGUCUUAAGCAGUACAGAGAUGAGCUAAACCUACAGCGAGCAGAUCAGUUGAAAUGGGAGCCGUACAUGCUCAUCGAGUCGUUGAGCUUACCACCACUCUGCACAAAAGAUGCUGACCUUUGGAUUACUCAAGCACCGUUAAUAAAUUUUCCUAUAGUUGAGAUGUAUCUGCCUGAGCGAGUGAUGCGGCAAUUCGGGCUCCGCCAAUGCAUUCCACCACCUUUUCGUCCUACACUGCAGACAUUACAUCGUAUUAGUCGACGUGGUAGAGAGCGUGAGAAUUGGGAAGAGACGCAUCAUGAGUAUAUUCAGGAAUGGGAAGCACGGCGGCAUCGCAUAUUUCGGGAGGCUGAGCAAUAUGAUUUGUCAUCUUACGACGAGUAUCUGCAGUGGUACUCUGGAGCUACACGGAGGUAUCUUGUGCCAUCAACCAGUGAUGAUGCUGAAGCAGGACUUUUAUCUCCACCUGAUGAUUCCUCUGAUCUUCAAUACAAGGCCAAGUCUCCUAUGAUCCGCAAAGCGGUUGAUAAGCUGCAUGGCAUGAUGAAGAAGGCCAAGACAGCCAUGUCAUCCACAGCUGAUACGGCCACACAAGCCUUAGUUUUUGAAUUUCUGCAUGGUUUUGAAGAUGUGCUCCAUGAUCUUGGUGAGAUGAAGGAAAAGAGUGGCCCAGAGGCUUCACCUUUUGGUUCAGCUACUGGUUCACAUGUUGACUCAGCUGCCGCCCACAAUGAGCCUCAACUUUUGCUUGAAGUUGAACAGAACAUUUUAAGUGACAAUCAAGAAGUUCAAUACCAGGAAGAUGAGGACCUUCAUACAGUGGAGCAUGCUAGAUUGACCCUAGAACCUAUGGAUGAGGAAAACCAGUGUUCCAACAAUUUAUUACUUGGUGUGGAUGAAAAUUAUGGCUCAGCUUCAUUAGCCACUGAGAACUGUGAGACAGCAGAUUUUGUCAUUCCACAGCACAAUGAGUAUGUUGAUGAAGCCGGACAUCCUGCCGAAAUGGAUCAUAGUUUACUGCUGAUGGAUUCUAUGCCUCUGAGUGAGGAAAAUAACGGUGUCGACUCUGCGCCCUCUCCUGGACCUUCUUCACCAGCGCUGGCAGCAACAUACGACUCAGCAAUGGAAAAUAUCAACUCAAGCACGCAAGGUGCCGAGCCAUCUUGUCCACAACAGAGUGUUGAUGUCAAACUGGAAGCUGAAGUGAAACAUACGGAUGCGGAGAAGGAUGACAGUUAUAAUGGUUAUUCUUCCUCCAACCAUUAGUUCGUCUGUAUGCAAAGGAGGCAGAUGGCACUGAUUCCGUUCCAGCCGAACCAUUGAUCGAGUUUAGUGUCAUGUAUGUAGUGAUUUGAAUGUAGAUGACAUUUUUUUGGAGAUUCAGUUUGAUUACUACUGCUGGUGUUAUUGGGCUUGUUAUGCAUCCUGAUUCACGGUUGAUUGCCUGCAAGUGCGAGGGCAUGUGACAAAAUGUGGACUAGCAAAACAAAGUUCCCCUCUACUGAGCGCUGCAGUAUGCUUGGAUCGGAUACCGGUCCCUGUAUUUAAUUUCCCUGGGCUAGGAAGAUGCAGGCUGGACUUGAUAAGAAGCACGUACGCAUGUAAUUUCCCUUGGCUAGGAAGAUACAGGCUGGACUUGAUCAAGAAGUACGUACGUCGACGAAGCUAGCAAGAGCUGAGACUGUUGCCAGCACAUGGAUCUCUGAACCCCAGUUCUGGCU
This is an RNA transcript of Lolium rigidum, 2840 nucleotides long. It is a transcript of the gene named protein MAIN-LIKE 1-like, with no coding region annotated. The transcript has 6 exons. Lineage: Eukaryota; Viridiplantae; Streptophyta; Magnoliopsida; Poales; Poaceae. The record is from RefSeq and is a predicted model, not a curated record.